AAACACACAUCACACGCACAGCAUCAGAUUUUGGGGGCGGAGCAUCAUCACGUAGCAUCUCUGACCCAGACCAGGACCUGGACCGAGAGCCGGACUCGGACUCCACCAAACACUCGACCCCGUCUAACAGCUCCAACCCGAGCAGCCCGCCCAGUCCGAACUCGCCACACCGCAGCCAGCUCACCUUGGACGGCCUGGACAUGGAGCCGUGAGGCCCCGCCCCCUGGACACCUGAGGGGAAGGGGCUAAAUGAACCAAUCAGGCUUCAGACUGAGUUUAAAUUUUACUUGAUUGAAUGAUUUUAUUGUGGCGGGGUGUGUCUGAGCUUCCUGCUGCUUUUAUAUUUGUUGGAUUUUACCUGCUGGGAAGCCCUGCCCCCUGGUUUUAACCCCGCCCCUGCUGAUGGCUGCUGUGUGUUUGACCUUUGACCUUUAGUCUGAUUGGCUCUGUGGGACCAAUCGCCUCCUCUUCUCCUUUAUUAAAUAACUUCCUGUUAGCAGCUAAGCUAACUGUGGCUAACUUCCUGUCUGAUGAGAAAACACUGAAUGAAUUUAAGUCUUUAUGUUGCACAUCGUCACGUCGUUGUAGGACAAAAAGAAUCUUUGAUUUUUCCUGUUGAACCCCCCCGAACCUGCAGGUGGAGCCAGGUGAGCCAGGUGAGGGGGGUGGGCACACCUGAACACUACUGCUUCCUCCAGAAUCACCUGUUAACCAAUCUUUGUAACUAUGAAACAUGUUAGCGGCCAAUAAAAUAAUCUGAACCUGA
Larimichthys crocea (large yellow croaker) is the source of this 766-nucleotide long non-coding RNA. RefSeq lists it as uncharacterized. The transcript is spliced from 3 exons. Lineage: Eukaryota; Metazoa; Chordata; Actinopteri; Sciaenidae. The record is from RefSeq and is a predicted model, not a curated record.